UAANCAUCGCCUCUUGAUAAAACAUAAGAGGUCCAGCCUGCCCAGUGACUUAGUUCAACGGCCGCGGUAUUCUGACCGUGCGAAGGUAGCAUAAUCACUUGUUUCUUAAAUAGAGACUAGUAUGAAUGGCACCACGAGGGCUCAACUGUCUCCUUUCUCUAAUCAGUGAAACUGAUCUCCUUGUGAAGAAGCAAGGAUCAAAAUAUAAGACGAGAAGACCCCAUGGAGCUUUAAACCCAAUGGCAACCCCCAACUCCCUACCUCAUCUUAGUUGUUCCAGUCCUGUCCAUUGGUUUUAGGUUGGGGUGACCGCGGAGUAUAAUUGACCCUCCACGAUGAAUGGGGCUACCCCCCUAACCCAAGAGCCACUCCUCUAAGAAUCAAUAAAUUGACAUAAAAUGAUCCAAUCAUUUGAUCAACGAACCAAGUUACCCUGGGGAUAACAGCGCAAUCCAUUUUAAGAGCUCCUAUCGACAAAUGGGUUUACGACCUCGAUGUUGGAUCAGGGUAUCCUAGUGGUGCAGCCGCUACUAAAGGUUUGUUUGUUCAACAAUUAAAACCCUACGUGAU
RNAcentral lists this ribosomal RNA (570 nucleotides) under Hoplobatrachus occipitalis (groove-crowned bullfrog). RNAcentral's name for it is "partial 16S ribosomal RNA". It matches the Rfam family "Bacterial large subunit ribosomal RNA", at positions 1810 to 2604 of the family's 2925-position model. Lineage: Eukaryota; Metazoa; Chordata; Amphibia; Anura; Dicroglossidae. The record is from RNAcentral.